GAUGAACGCUAGCGGCAGGCCUAACACAUGCAAGUCGAGGGGCAUCGCGGUGCAGCAAUGCACUGGCGGCGACCGGCGUACGGGUGCGUAACGCGUAUGCAACCUGCCCCGCACCGGGGGAUAGCCCGCCGAAAGGCGGAUUAAUACCCCAUGGUCCCGGGGGCCCGCAUGGGCAUCCGGGUAAAGCCUUGGCGGUGCGGGAUGGGCAUGCGUGCCAUUAGCUGGCUGGUGGGGUAACGGCCCACCAGGGCAACGAUGGCUAGGGGGUCUGAGAGGAUGGUCCCCCACACUGGUACUGAGACACGGACCAGACUCCUACGGGAGGCAGCAGUGAGGAAUAUUGGUCAAUGGGCGGAAGCCUGAACCAGCCAUGCCGCGUGCGGGAUGAAGGCCUACGGGUUGUAAACCGCUUUUCCCGGAAGAUAAGCCCCGCGGGGUGAUGCCGGUACCGGGGAAUAAGGAUCGGCUAACUCCGUGCCAGCAGCGCGGUAAUCAUACUCGUA
This 503-nucleotide ribosomal RNA is filed under the name uncultured bacterium. Its description in RNAcentral is "bacterial SSU rRNA". It matches the Rfam family "Bacterial small subunit ribosomal RNA", at positions 28 to 529 of the family's 1533-position model. The record is from RNAcentral.